This is a long non-coding RNA of Salvator merianae (Argentine black and white tegu), 1549 nucleotides long. Lineage: Eukaryota; Metazoa; Chordata; Lepidosauria; Squamata; Teiidae. The record is from Ensembl.
GGGAGGGACACCCCCAUUAAAGCCGCAAGUUCUCGCACCUCUCUCCUCCCGGAGGUGGCAGAUUCCCCCUGCGCGCUCCACCCCCACCCACGGCCUCUCUCCUUUUCCUUCUUCCCCCGCAGCUGCGCCCAGUCGGACGCCUACUGGUUCACGGGCCGCCACUGCGAGCAGUCCAUCAGCAAGGUGGGCGUGGCCGUCGGGGUAGCCCUGGGCCUGGCCGUGCUGCUCCUGCUGAUCCUCCUGCUGGCCGUCCUGCUCUGCUGGAAGCGUUGCUGCCGCCGCCGGGAUAAGGAGGACCGCAGGCNGACAGGUGGGAAUCCGGAGGAGGAGAAGUGGUACGAGAACACGUCGGACUGGGUGUCCCGUGCUCACGGCCCGAGCCCUGGGGGCCCCGAGGCUCGUCAACCCAGCGCCCGGGCAGAUCCUGCCCCAGUGGCGACCGGCGAGCAAACGAGUCAGCCAGCGGGGGAGGACGACGGCCACCGCGCAGGCCCGCCAGAACCUGAAAGCAGCGUGGGUGGCGAAGGCAAGAGCCCCCCCUCCCAGCAGGGGUCCUUCCGGCCCUGCCUGGAGAAAGUGGACACUUCUCUGCGGGCGCAGAUCGCUCGGCCCCAGGUGACCAAGCUGUGAAGAAGAGGCGUGGGACAGAGACCGUGCGGAGCAGAACCCUCGCCGCCUCGCCCCGGGGGCCUGCACCUGCUGCGCUGGGAAUCGGAACAUGCCAGGAGCUGCGGUGCUUGCCGGCCAGCUGUGGCUCUGGCCUCUGGCCUCCUCCAGCUGAGCAACGGGACGCGCCUCCACUGGGCACGGCAGGGCUUCUGGGCUUGCCAGGGGCCUUCCGGAAGUGAGCGUCCUUUGAGCUUCUGCGCAGAGACUUGAAGUGGUGCCCGCGUGUGCCAGGGACGGGUGUCUGGGUGGCUCAGGGCUGCGCUUGUGGCCAGCGGGAGGUGGCGGUCUCCUUGGAUGGCGGCCCUCCUCAGUCUCUGCAGGCCAGGGGCUGUGCCGCUGUGCCCUGGGCAGCCGUCAGGCGCCCCUUCCUCUGGAUCCCUCCUCCUUCAGGGCACCCCUCCCCACAGGCAACUCCUGUGCCGCUCACGGGCAAAGGAGCCCAGGGUGGCCCUCCUCUGGUCAGGUGCCCGGGAGNGAGGCCAGCCGGCAGGGGCCUCCAGCUAGAGGAGGGAGGGGGCCACCAGCCACUCCUGGAAGGGUUUCCAAGGCUGAGAUCCCAGAUAGGGUCCAGAGUGCGGGCGGGCAUCGCUGNGUGUCGGCAGAGGGGUGGGCUUUGUGGCGUCAGGGCCUGGUUCCACGCGAGGCUGCAGGUCAGCCCUUUGACCAGAGGGGCUCUCUCCCGCUGAACUGGUCUGCCGUGCUGCUUUCCCAGCUCAGCCGACCUUGUGGCCUCUGCUCUUGACGUCUUUUGUGUCCAGCCAGCCGUUUCCUCCUCUCCUCCAGCCUUUGAUGAUCAAACUCUGAGUGCAAUAUGUUCUGAAAUGAGGUGCCAGCUUUGCACACUGUCACUUGACAAUAAAGGUCCUAAUCCUGUCCCCCA